Molecule: ribosomal RNA, 200 nt
Filed under: uncultured Thermovirga sp.
Lineage: Bacteria; Thermotogati; Synergistota; Synergistia; Synergistales; Thermovirgaceae
Description: partial 16S ribosomal RNA
Rfam family: Bacterial small subunit ribosomal RNA
Source: RNAcentral
GUCAAGUCAUCAUGGCCCUUAUGUCCAGGGCGACACACGUGCUACAAUGGCCGGCACAGCGGGAAGCGAGGGGGCGACCUUGAGCGGAUCCCUCAAAGCCGGUCUCAGUUCGGAUUGCAGUCUGCAACUCGACUGCAUGAAGUUGGAAUCGCUAGUAAUCGUGGAUCAGCCAAGCCGCGGUGAAUACGUUCCCGGGCCUU